RNAcentral lists this ribosomal RNA (442 nucleotides) under uncultured bacterium. RNAcentral describes it as "partial 16S ribosomal RNA". It matches the Rfam family "Bacterial small subunit ribosomal RNA", at positions 338 to 795 of the family's 1533-position model. The record is from RNAcentral.
ACUACGGGUGGCAGCAGUGGGGAAUAUUGGGCAAUGGGCGCAAGCCUGACCCAGCAACGCCGCGUGAAGGAAGAAGGCUUUCGGGUUGUAAACUUCUUUUGUCAGGGAAGAGUAGAAGACGGUACCUGACGAAUAAGCCACGGCUAACUACGUGCCAGCAGCCGCGGUAAUACGUAGGUGGCAAGCGUUGUCCGACUUUACUGGUUGUAAAGGGCGGUUAGCCUGGUUGAAAAGUCAGAUGUGAAAUCCUGCGGCUUAACCGCAGAACUGCAUUUGAAACUGUGGAUCUUGAGUACUGGAGAGGCAGAUGGAAUGCCUAGUGUAGCGGUGAAAUGCGUAGAUAUUAGGAGGAACACCAGUGGCGAAGGCGGUCUGCUGGACAGCAACUGACGGUGAGGCGCGAAAGCGUGGGGAGCAAACAGGAUUAGAUACCCUGGUAGUC